Molecule: ribosomal RNA, 474 nt
Filed under: uncultured bacterium
Lineage: Bacteria
Description: SSU rRNA
Rfam family: Bacterial small subunit ribosomal RNA
Source: RNAcentral
AGGACGAACGCUGGCGGCGUGCUUAACACAUGCAAGUCGAGCGGAAAGGCCCUUCGGGGUACUCGAGCGGCGAACGGGUGAGUAACACGUGAGCAACCUGCCCUUAGCUCCGGGAUAGCUCCGGGAAACCGGAAUUAAUACCGGAUAUGACCUAGGCCGACAUCGGCUGUGGUGGAAAGUUUUUCGGCUGGGGAUGGACUCGCGGCCUAUCAGCUUGUUGGUGGGGUAAUGGCCUACCAAGGCGACGACGGGUAGCCGGCCUGAGAGGGCGACCGGCCACACUGGGACUGAGACACGGCCCAGACUCCUACGGGAGGCCAGCAGUGGGGAAUCUUGCGCAAUGGGCGAAAGCCUGACGCAGCGACGCCGCGUGGGGGAUGAAGGCCUUCGGGUUGUAAACCCUUUCAGCAGGGACGAAGCGAAAGUGACGGUACCUGCAGAAGAAGCGCCGGCUAACUACGUGCCAGCAGCCGC